GUGGCAAAGCCAGAAGGCAAACCCAGGCAGUCAGCCCAGGUUUGUCCUCAGAUCCCUGGCAUGACAGUGCCUUGUUUUUGUAGCUGGAGAGCUUCAUGUAGUCAUUCAGCAAACAUUUAGUGAGCUCCUCUGUGUGCCAGGUAUCGUGCACGCUGGCUGGGGUGCAGAGAGUAAUUCCUUCUAACUGUGAGCCUCCAGGACCCUGGGCAAAGGGUAUGCCGCGUAGGAGGAGCUUGCUCCUGUUUGUUGAGUGACUGGGAGUGCUAGGUAUUUGAAAGAUUGCUGAGCUUAGGGCCUGAGAACUUGGAUCCCUGCUGCCGGGAAGGAAAAUGUUAUGACAAGCUCAUCCAUAUUCAGCACCAAACAGGAAACAGACACCCUUCUGAUUUAUUCUCGACAUGCUAGUGGUUCGGUUGGAGGACAGGCCAAGUCGCUGCAGAGGAACAGGCGCUCUGAACCCUGAGAUCCUGGGCCGGGCCAGGUGUCGGUUUCAUCAUGAUGCCAGGCUCCUGCCCAGCCAGGGAGCAGGAGAGGAUGUCUCAACCGCCAACGCCCACGGGCCCUGAGCUGAGAGCCUUCCAUUAGCUCUGGGAGGGAGGCCUGUCUCAAGACAACAAAUUAAGAGGGAAAAAGUGCAAAGCUGGGGAGAAUUCUACAGCCUGCCUGGCCCUGCCAGCUGGUCAGCAUCCAGCCACGGCAGCCAGACCCCAGGGCCGGUGCCCACCCAGUCAGCCUGGCCCUGCAGAGCUGCCCCCACCAAGCACAUCACCUCUCCUGGGCUUCUCUGUCUCCAGCUGCUCUCUGCACACCCACCGAAGCCCUAAGCUGAGUCAGUGUCACCCCUGGCCUUUGACCAUAUUGCAAGGCCUUGGCAGAUGGAGAAAGAUUUAACGUUCCUUCCCGGGAUCAGACUGCAAUGGGAAAGACCUAGUUUCUCAUCCCUUCAAUCAAUAUGAAGAGAUUCUCUACUCUCUUGAGGAUACAGACAGAGUUGAACAGAGCAGUAAUUCCACCAUGUGGAUGGGUUUGGAGAAGCAGAGGUGUCGGUGGUCAGCAGCCGGACUAGACAUCAACACUGCGCGUCCAGGAUGUGUCACCUACAGCAAGUUCCUUAACCUCUCAAGGCUCCGUUUCCUGUCAGUAACAUGGAGUACGGAUCGUGCCUUUCUCCAUCAAACAGUUGCUGGACAGGUGAACGAGUUACUAAUUUGAGAUAUGUAAGCCUGGUACAUGGCCCGGUCAAACAAUGGAAAUGAAUGACCCCUCAUAGCUGCAGCAGAGGCGUAAGCAGAGUUGUGUAGGAGGAGCCCAAUUCUCAGGGCCCCAGGGGACCAGGCUCGCCUCCUGGGAGGAUGUGGGUACAGUCAGAGGGGAGCCUGGGCUGACACACAGCGGUGAGGAUGGCCCGACCCGCUAGGAGCCCAGAGCCCAGACAGGAACCAGACAGACGAAAGUUCUCUGCAGUCAGGACCAAGCGUAGGUUCCAGGAGGGAGGAAAGUUGCACGAGGUAUCAGAUUAUCAGGGACCAGGCAAACGGCAGGGCUCAAGAUCCCAGAGCCACAGGCAGAGAGCUCCCCAGCACCCCAGUAGACACUGUGCCCUGCAUUCUGUUUCCGUGCUUCCUGCUGGGAGGGUGGGAGCUUGGGGGAGGCUGAGGUCAUGGAUAAUUGCAGUGGUCACUGUGGUUACUUCCCCUCCCCCACAACAGCUGCCCAGUGCCCUGAUGGGGUGGUUCUCACCCUACCUCCAGGGUAACUAAUUGUGGACACCCCCCACUACCCUUAGUGCUGUGUAUUGGAAAUGGUCUCGCAGUGCGUGGCUCAGCAUACCUGUCCUGUGGUAUGGGAAAAGUUUCUCUCCCCAAAAGAGGAAAACAAAGGAAUUGCAUCACACUGGUUUCUGCUGGCAGCCUUCCUCUGACUUUGAAAUACAAUGGAAGCCCUGGGGGGCAAAGGACAAAGAAGCAGAGAAACAAAGUUAAAUCCUGAUCAAACUGUGCCUGAUACCCACAGUGCCUUCAGUCUUGAUACACACGAAAAUAAAUCUCAAAGUUAAGUUAAGUUAGGGUGGUAGGCAGAAUAUUGACCUCCCCGGAUACCCAGGCAAUAUCCUUAGACACUGUGAAUCUGUUCAUUUCAAUGGCAAAAAGACUUUAGAUAUGACUGAGGAUAAGGAUCUUGAUAGGGAAGGAUUAUUGCGGAUGCCCAGGUCGGCCAAUCUGAUCAUACAAAUUCUCAGGCUUGGAGAACUUUUCCAAGCCAGGGUCAAGGGAGAUGGACCAGGAAGAGCAGUCAGAGAGAUGCCACACUGUUGGCUUGAAAGAUGGGCCAAAGACCUGGGGUAUGGGCCAGGGAUCUGGGCUCUGGAAAAAACAAAUCCUCCCCAACAGCCCAGGAAGUACAGCAGCCCUGCAGAUAUCUUAUUGUAGUCAAUCAAGAGACAAAGUGAACUUCUAGCCUACCGUAACCUACUAGGACUGUGACAUUAAUCAGUUUGUACACUUUAAGCCAUCAGGUUUGUGGCAACUUGUUAGAACAACGACAGGAAAUAAAAGCAGGCUUUCAAUGACUUGUAACCCGACCCAUCCCGCAGUUCUCAUAACCAUACUAACCGUAGCUAACAGUUUUUAAAAGCAGUUUUCUCUAGGGCUGGGAAUUUAGAUCAGCAGCAUAAGCACCUGCCUUGUAAGCAGGUGGUCGUGAGUUCGAUCCCGUACCAAUAAAAAAAAAAGCACUUCUCUCUCAACCUCUCUUUCUACAUGAUAUCUAAUUAAUCACUACCAUACUGCAGCUAUCAGGCCCAUUUUAUAGAGGAGAAAACUGAGGCUCAGAGAAGUGAAUUAGGGAGUGGGGUGCCUGGGUUUGAAUCGAAGCCCGCAUUACUCUGGCAUCUGUCCACUUCCCUCUGUACUUGGAUGCUCUCAGCCACCCCCAUGGUGGAGCCUGGCUUUCCUGUACCCCAAGAAUGGCUGGUGUGAAAUGGUCCUUUGCCAAAUCUUCCCUGCAGCUGCCCCGUUAACCUUGAGACUCACACUCCCAGCUCUCUCCUUUGUCCACAGGGCUGUUGUUUAAAAAUCACCAUCCUUGCUGGACCGGGUGGUGCACAACCAUAAUCCCAGCACUCAGGAGGCUGAGGCAGGAAGAUCAUAGCAAGCUGGACACCAGCCGAGGCUACAUUGUGAAUUUGGGGCCAGCUUGAACUACUCAGCAAACCCUGUCUCACCACCACCACCACAAACCACCAGCCUUACGGAUGAACUUUCAUUGUAUUUAUAAAAUCCAAAACAUCCUAGAAGAGAAAGACUUCCCCUCUCCAGAUGUGCGACCUCAGUGAUGUUUCUUGAAUGUUAAUGAACACACGGGCCUCCCUGCAGGCCUAGCCAACUCCUGGGGGACAGCAGCACCAAGCUGGGCCCACCAUAGUUUGAUAAGCAAGAGUCUACAUGGCCCAAAUAGAGGAGUAUUGGGAAACCUGGAGAUACCUGGGGUUAGCUGGCUGUCUUGGGUGAACUCAGGAAGCACAGGUCCCCGCAGAGGGUUGCCAGGAGUCCCAAUAGCUCGUCACUGUCACCUCCUCUGCCCUUGUCCCUGCCCCAUUGGCAAACCCAUCAGCUCCAUCUUCAAAAUCUAUCUGGUGCCGGACAUGGUGGUGCACGCCUGUAAUGCCAGCACUCGGAAGGCUGAUGCAGGAGGAUUGUUGUGAGUUCGAGACCAGCCUGGGCUACAAAGUGAGCUCGAGGCCAGCCUGAACUGCAUAGUGAGACCCUGUCCCAAAACAAACAAACAAACAAACGAGAAUAAACUAGCUGGGACCCACUUACCACCUCUUCACCACUGUUUGUCAUGAGAUCAGAGCCACCGUCCCUCUCAACCCAUCCCUUGGCUCCCACUUGCACGCUGGCUUCCCUGUGGUCCAACUUCCACACAGUAGCCAGAGGGACCCUUUGAAAAAUGGACAUGGGAUCCCUUUCUCCCCCUGCUCAAACCUCCAGUGGAGCAAAGCUCCUAUGUAACGUGGCCGCCAUCUGUCUCUGCCUCUGCCCCUCCAAACGAUCCCUUUGCUCCUUCCCAUCCACCAUACCUGCCUCUUUCCAGUGCUUCACAGCUUGUCUGUCACAUUCCUGCCUCUGGGCCUUUGCACUUACUAUUCUUCCAAAUAUUCCCGAGGCUCAAAUCAUUUUAAAACUCCCUUUUCAGAGAGUCCAUCUCAAACCAUCCUGUCUAAAACAGCACUCUCUGACCUGCCACUCUGUUUUCUGCCCCAGCUGUCAUCACCCACUGGCCAGGAAGGCCUGGAUAUGACUCCCAGUCGGGCAUGACCACAGAUGUGGCAGAGGCCAGACUGCCCAGAGCGGCUGGACUCUGCUGAAACUGACAAGAUGAAGUUCAAGCAAGAUCUGCAUCGUCCUUUGCUUGACCUGAAGCAUCAAGCCUUGCAGUUUACCCAAAGGAAAUCAUAUAAAAUACGGUGGAGAUUUAUGUCUGAAACGGGUUGCCACAGUCUUACUGUAAUUAGUGCAAAACCAAAAACAGUUCCACCUUCGGCAAGAGGACCUUAAAGAAGUCAGAUCUCACAGACCCACAAGAUGGAUUCUCAGUCUUGGCAGGGGUGACACUUGUGGCCAGAGGGUCUGCGGUGGGUCCUGCCCUGUGCGUCCGUCACAGAUGUUCAGCUGCCAUCAGCAAUGCCACUCACCCACCUGCUGUGACAACUACAAAGCCCUCCAGACAUUGCCAACUGUCUCCUGGGAGCAAAGUCACCCUGGCUGAGAAUGAAUAUUAUUCAUUGAAGAAAAUUAAUAUAUUCUCUUCAGAUCUUGGAGGAUGCUUAUGAUAUUAUACUGCGUUAAGAAAAAAGGUGCUACGUGUGUUUUCACUAUGUUUGUGUACAGGAGAGAAAAAAGAUUGAAUGGGAAAUAUACCAGGAGGGCAGCCAGGAUUUCCGGGUGGUGGAAUUAGGAAAGAUUUUUUUUCUUGCGUUUUUACCUUUGAUUUUAUACGCUCAUGCAUCUACUGAAUUCACUCAUUUACAGAAUGCCUAUUACGCGGCAUUGUUCUAGGAUGUAAGUAAAGGCUGUGUAUGGGCAGAGAUUCGGCCUGCUCCCCUCCCAGACUUUAUGCUGGGAGGAGGGAUAGACGUGAAACUCACAAGCUUUACAGACGAUGCUCGGGGCUGCCGAUGGGCGCCCUGAGCCCUGCAACGCCAGGAAGGAGAGAGACCGGCCCGCCUCAGCAGCGCCCAGUGUCUCUUGAAUGAAGGAGGAGCACAUAAACCAUUCGAAGGAGGGGAGCUACACUAUCUGAUUUCCAUUUUGAAAUGGUUGUUACACAUUCAUUUUUUUGAAAAAAAAAAUAGAUGAUCUAUGCCUUCAUGAAAAUUCAAACAGCAUUCAGGAGAAAAUACCAAGAGAGAGAAAAAAAGGCGCUUGGCGGAAGGCCACCAGAAAAGCAGCCCUGCAAAUGGUUUAGCAAAUCUCUUGUCAAGCAUCUUUCUCCCUUUUCCCAUCCUCCCUCCCUCUCCCUCUCUCUCUCUCUCUCUUUUUCUGUCUGCCCCUGUCUCCCUUUAUAAAUAUAUAAAAACAUUUUACGCAAGUGGAUUCAAGCCAUUCAUGCUGAUUUGUAACCUGCUUUUUUCCUGCUCUUUGUAAUUUUAUGCUCAUUGUAAACUUUCCACAGUGGGCAUAUAUUACUUUUAUAAUCCCGGACAGAAAAGAAAGCAAAAGACCACAAGAAAUAAAAUGAAACCCACAAAUACAGGAUGAGGGCUCCCUGGCCAAGCAGUAUGACUGUAAAGAAAGGCUUUGAGGUUUCGCUGGCCACAGACUCAGCAGGAGCUGACGGCAUGAUGCGGUUUCUCCUCUCAGCUCAAUUCACCGGACGGACCGUUCCCUAGCAGAAGACCAUGUGAACAGGCUUCUCUGGGCUAACUCCGGGUCUGCUCAACCCUCUCCUUUAUAGCUCUCCAAGCACCUGGUAGGUCUAAACCCAGGAUGAUACCCGCAUAACAGUUAUGUUUCAUGAGCACUUAGGACUUUACCCCAACCAGUGUUCCAGGAUCUUUACAUAUAUUAACUUAUGUAAUCCCCCAGUGACCCAUGGCAUGGAUCUCAUUGUUAUUCUCAGUUUAUGGAGGAAGAAACUGAAGCCCAGAGAAGCUAUAGAGUUUUCCUGAGGUCACACAGCUUAAUAAAGCAGCACCAGAAAUACCAAGAAGAACAAACCCCAGGUCUGCCCUCAAAGAAUUAACAGCUGCCAUCACUUCACAUUAAUUCAUUCAACCAACAUUCUCUGUUUAAGGCCCUCGAAUACAUUCACUGUUCGAGGAUUUUGUGAAUACAUUCUCUCAGCCUGCCUUAACGGUUGUUUCAUCUGUGUAGGCAUCCAAGUAAUUUUUACGGGGCACCGUGACCACCAAUUUGAAUGGAUUAAGGGUGAAAGGAGCACAGCUCUUCCGGUGUCUGUGGGUGACUGACAGGUAGGCGGGAAGAAGAACCGGAAGUGUGUGGCACUGACCAAUGGGCUCGUAGCCUGGAUGGCAUUAAAAGGGAAGGAACCAGGAAGUCGCUGCUGUGCUUUGGAGGCGCUCUGCUCUUCUGCCCUGCCUUGGGGGACCUCUUGACUUUCUAACACAGGACUCGCACGGACUCUGCAGCCUUUGACCUUCACCUGGGUCCUCUAGCUCUCUGGGGCUCAGAUGGCCUUUGGAUUCUUUACCCUGCUCCAUAGGCGCCAUUGUGGGCGCCUUCAUAUGAUCAUGUGUGUGUGCAUGUGGAUGUCUACACUAAAUCAGUUCCUCGAGUAAAACCUGGCUGAUGCGAGCACCAAUCGCACACCUGACACAGUGUGAGACCAGAAAACGGUGGUGAACAAUGGUGGUGCACAGUUGACCUCGUAAUGAAGACAGAGAUAAAUAUACUAAUGAAGCAUGAGAUACAUGAACUGAAUGUGGAAGAGGACUGAAGUAGAGAGGGCUGGAACUGACUGGGUGAGAUAUGAGCGGGAAGAAAGUGUUAGACAUUUAGAGAAGCCAGUGGGGACGGCCUUUUGGAUGUGGUGCCUGUGGAACAGUGAUCUGAACAGAGAGAGGAAGCAAGUCUUGGGAACAUGUGGGGAAUGUAAUCCUGACAUGAAGAACAGCAAGUGCAAAGGCCCUGAGGCCUGAGAACGUUUGAAAGGGCCACAGAACACCAAAGAGGCAAAUGGGCUGGGAACACAGUGAGAGGCAGAACUAUUGGCUGGACAGCAGGGUCAGUGACACACCAGGAAUGCAGCCAGCAGGGCAACUCCCAAACUGUCCGGGCUGCAGCCCUAAGGUCGGUGUCCUCCAAGAGGCAGUGGCCGGCCCUGACCUCAGCUAAAUACCCAGCAGUCCUACUGUUGGUUUAGCGUGUGCCUGGUUUGAAUUCAGCAUCUCCCGCCCUCCAGCCUGACAGCCUCCCUCUUCCCCAGGUGACAAGUGUCCAUAUAACAUCAGUGUUGCAGGAGCAGGUUAACAUCGGAGAUGCCGGAACAAAUGAUCUGCAUUUGAAAUCACUUCACCAGGACUCACUGUGCAACCCCAGGCAGAGCGUGGAGCUCUCUGUGCCUUAGCUUUCCAGCUUUAACACGGAGAAUCAUGAUUGGGGGGACCGUGGCGCAUGUCCCAUGCCUGGAACGUCAGCCUGGGGGUCCUGCAACUUAGCAAGUUCCGGUCCAGAACUAAAAAGGACUGGUUGUAGCUCAGUGUGAAGGCCCUGGGUUCAAACCCCAGUGCGCAAAAAAGUAAUAAUAUUAAAAGAAAAAAGUGAAAAAGAAGAGAUGGGGAUAGUUUCUACCUCCGAAGGUUGUUAGAAUUCAGUGAGCUGGUUGUGUCAGACCCUGGAGGCCAGGCAAGUGCUCAGUAGCAGCCCUGUGUACCUUGAAGCAUUUCGUUUGUUUGAGUAUUAACAGCCUUUCCUGCCUCAGUGCUGUGCUGGGAACUGGGGAAACACAGGCAAACACAGCAGACGGUCCUGUCUUACAGGAAAGGCAGACCAGCCAGGAGGAUGACAGCACAGUGCAUCACUGGACAAGACACAAGGCCCUUUGGAAACAGAACAAGGGUUCCUGAGCUAGUCAGAUGCAAUCAGCCAUGGCUUCCUGGAGGAGGUGCUGUCCCAGUCCAGGCCUGAAGGACAAGUGGAUGAGGGGCUGUAGGACUAGGUGCUCCAGGUAGAGGGAACAGAGUUGGCAAAGGCUCAGAGGCCAGACACCAGGCUGCUCCCAGGGAAUAGUGGGCAGUGCUGGGACAUUGCUUGUGAGAAGCAGGCAGCUGGAGGAUGCAGGGCCAGGCUGUGGGGGUCUCCUGAGCCACCAAUACUGGGCUCACAAGUGUAAACUCGAGGAUGAGGUUGAGCUGAGCCUUAUUUUUAUCUCCUUUUUCAUUCAUGAAACAGAACACUCAUAGGAUCAGUAGGCAAAGUUCUCAGCUUGGAGCAGUACUGUGUGGAGGUUAAGCAUUUGCAUUCUGGGUCCAGGGUGUAGUUCAAGGUCAGAAUGAUUGGGUUCCUAACCAUCCAAGAGUAGGUAAGUUACUGCAACCUUCUGAGCCUCCAUUUCCUGGGCUGCAAAAUGGGACACACUAUAGGUUUGGUCUUAAAUAUCCUCCAAAGUUUCAUGUGUUGAAGGCUUAGUUCCCAGCCUAUGGGAACAGUUGUGAGGUGGUGAAGGCUUUAGGAGGUGGAACCCAGAGGUUAAAUCACUAGGUUGGGGGAGGUGACGUGGAAGGGGACACAGGCACCCCAGCGCCUUCCGCUCUCUCUUGGUUUCCUGGCCACCAUGAUGUGAAACGUGUACCUCGUUCUCCCACUAACAUGGACUUCACAGGCUCAGUGCAACAAGGUCAAGCAACAAUGGACUGAGCCUUCUGAAACUGUAAGCCAGGACGAACCUCCCUGCUUGAAAGUCGAUUCUCUUGGGUAUUCUGUCACAGUGGCAGAAAGCCAACAAACCAAGAGAUCAGCCACCUAGUGUUGUAAGAAUAGAGUCUAUAUAGAAGGGACCCAACAGUUCCUGCAAGAAAUAAGUUCUCAACAAAAUAACAACACAGGCCAUUAUUAGAACUUCCAGCUGGGCCAAGUGGCACACACUUGUAAUCCCCAGACUCAGGAGGCUGAGGCAAGAGGAUUGCCAUGAGUUCAAGGCCAACCUGAGCUACCUGGUGAGUUCAAGGCCAGUCUGCACUAUAUAGCAAGACCCUGUUUCAAAAAGAGAGAGAAGAGAGAGAGAACUUUCUCCACACAACCAGUGCCUUUGCAGCUCCUACCUUGUUAAAUCAUCUUUUUAAUUUUCAAAUGAAAAAACUUUAUUUAUGGCAUGGCGUGGUGUUUCGGUAUAUGAACCAUCAUGGAAUGAUCAGGUCAAUCCGCGCAGCAUCCCUGUUACCUCACAUGUUUAUUGUUAUUUGUGAUGACAACAUUCAAAAUGGACUCUCACAGGUACAACACACGAUGGUUGUGGUCACCGUAUGGUACAGUGGAACCCCGGGACUCAUUCCUCCUCCCUAAGACACGGGACCCUGAGCUAGCAUCUCCCCGGCCCAGGCCCUGGUGAGCACCACCCUGCUCCCUGCUUCCCUGAGCCUGACUCUUAGAUCCCACAGGUGGGUUCGACCGUGCAUUUCUGUCUCUCUGUGCCUGGCUUACAUCACUUAACAUAAUGUCUUCCAAGCUCAUCCAUGCUGUCACAAAUGACAGGAUCGCCUGCUCUCUUCACGCUGGGUACAGUUGCAUUUGUGUAUGCACAUUUGCUUCAUUCAUUCAUUCCCUGGGGGGUGCUAAGGUUAGUUUCGCAUCUUAACUACUGCGAAUGGAGCUGUGAUCAACAUGGACACACAGAUGUCUCUUGAACACAGUGAUUUCAUUUCCUUUCCACGUAUACGCACGGGCAAGAUGGCUAGAUCACGUGGGUAGUUCUAUUUUUAAGGCUUUGAGGAACUUUCAUUCUGUUUUCCACUAAGACUGCUAAUCUGCAUUCCCAUGCACAGUGAGUAAGAGUUCCCGUCUCAGCAUCCUUCCCACCGAAUGAUCCAGCAAUCUGGAGACAAAGAAAGCAGAACAUCAAAGAGACAUCUGCACUCCCCCGUGAUCACGGCGCUAUUCACAAAAGCCCAGAUUCUGGAUCAACCUAAGUGUCCAUCAACAGAUAAAUGGAUGGGAAAGAGUGGACUCUGUAUGCCAUAAAAAGAAUAAAAAUCCUGUCAUGUGCAGCGACGUGGAUGAGCCCAGAGGACAUUAUGGCCCGUGAAAUGAGUUGGGCAGAAAGACAAAUUCUGCAUGUCCUCACUCAAAUGCGAAGGCUGCAAAUCAAAGUUGAUCCCAUAGAAGCAGAGGGUAGAAUGCUGGUGCCAGAGGCCAAGAAGAGGAGGGACUAGGGAGAGACACAGCUCACAGGUGCACGAGUGGAGUCAGCUGGGGAGAUGAAGUCCCAGUGAGCCACGGGAAGUGAGGUGACCACUGUGAUUGUUUAGAUCUGUAACAGCUCCCAAAGUCUCAGGGUUCCGAGGUGGGCCUUUUGGAAGGUCACUAUAUCCUGAGCGUUCUGACUUCAGUGUGGGUUAAUCCAUAAGUGAGAUCAUAAUUUGAUGGCAUUAUUGGGAGGUGAUGUAUACUUAGGAGGAGCAGCCUAGGUGAAUGGAGUGGGUGAUGGGGGCAUGACCUGGGGACUCUGUCUUGUCCCUUGCCCCUUCCUCUCAGGCUCUCUCAACCUCUCUGUUUCCUGGUUGCCAUGAGCUGAGCAUCUUUCUACCUCCACACUGUUAUGCCAUGAUGUUUCCAUCAUGCCGUGAGCACAAAAGCACUGGGGUCACUCAGCCAUGGACUGAACUCUCCAAAACCAUGAGCCACAAUAACUCUUUCCUCCCUUAAAUUGUGAGUAUUGAAUAUUUUGCCACAGCAACGGACAGCUAACACACUACCAUUAACAAUAAUUCAUCGUAAACUUCAAAAUAACUAGAAGAGGAUUUUGAAUGUUCCUAACACAAAGAAAUAAUAAAUG
Molecule: long non-coding RNA, 11013 nt
Organism: Cavia porcellus (domestic guinea pig)
Lineage: Eukaryota; Metazoa; Chordata; Mammalia; Rodentia; Caviidae
Exons: 4
Source: RefSeq, a predicted model, not a curated record